Molecule: ribosomal RNA, 245 nt
Filed under: uncultured bacterium
Lineage: Bacteria
Description: partial 16S ribosomal RNA
Rfam family: Bacterial small subunit ribosomal RNA
Source: RNAcentral
GAAGGUCCGGGCGUUAUCCGGAUUUAUUGGGUUUAAAGGGAGCGCAGGCUGUAUUGUAAGCGUGCCGUGAAAAGCGCCGGCUCAACCGGCGUCGUGCGGCGCGAACUGCAGUACUUGAGUUCACGGAAGGUAGGCGGAAUUCGUGGUGUAGCGGUGAAAUGCUUAGAUAUCACGAAGAACUCCGAUUGCGAAGGCAGCCUGCCGCAGUGUUACUGACGCUGAGGCUCGAAAGUGCGGGUAUCGAA